This 259-nucleotide ribosomal RNA is filed under the name uncultured bacterium. RNAcentral's name for it is "partial 16S ribosomal RNA". It matches the Rfam family "Bacterial small subunit ribosomal RNA", at positions 29 to 313 of the family's 1533-position model. The record is from RNAcentral.
AGCGAACGCUGGCGGCAGGCCUAACACAUGCAAGUCGAGCGCCCGUAGCAAUACGGGAGCGGCAGACGGGAUAGUAACACGUGGGAACGUACCCUUCAGUUCGGAACAACCCAGGGAAACUUGGGCUAAUACCGAAUACGUCCGUAAGGAGAAAGAUUUAUCGCUGAAGGAUCGGCCCGCGUCUGAUUAGCUAGUUGGUGGGGUAAUGGCCCACCAAGGCGACGAUCAGUAGCUGGUCNGAGAGGAUGAUCAGCAUCAC